This 2373-nucleotide ribosomal RNA is filed under the name Heleopera sphagni. RNAcentral describes it as "partial small subunit ribosomal RNA". It matches the Rfam family "Eukaryotic small subunit ribosomal RNA". The record is from RNAcentral. Lineage: Eukaryota; Tubulinea; Elardia; Arcellinida; Heleoperidae.
UCAGGUUGAUCCUGCCAGUAGUUACUUGCUUGUCUUAAGGAUUAAGCCAUGCAUGUCUAAGUAUAAACUCUUAUUAGUCGGUUGAAACUGCGAAAGGCACAUUAAAACAGUUAUAGUCUAUUUUAACCAAAAAGUGCCUGUGAUUAUUUUACCAAAAAAUUACAGGGUCUCAUGGAUAACUAUAGUAAUUCUACAGCUAAUACAUAUGAUAAUAUUAAAAAAAAGAUCUUUCAAUAGAUCUUAUUAUGAAUUCAUUAGAUAAACAUAAAAUACCUUUUUUAAAAAUUUCCUCUCUACUCUUUAGAGCUGUAGAAUAGAAUUACAAAAAAAAGAGUUGAUUCAUGAUGAAAAGAAAUUCUUCGGAACCUCAGUUCUCUUUUCGUAUUUAAAAAAAUGCGAUAGUUAAAAAAGGUAUCUGACCUAUCAACUGUCGAUGGUGUUAUCUAGGAUUACCAUGGUAUUAACGGGUACCGGAGGAUUAGGGUUUGAUUCCGGUGAGGGAGCCUUAGAAAUGGCUACCACUGCCAAGGAAGGCAGCAGGCGCGUAAAUUACCCAAUGACAAUCAGUUGAGGUAGCGACGAAAAAUAUCAAUGUAUUAUCUAUUUGAUACUAUGUUUGAAAUGAGAUCAAUAUAAACUUAUUAACAAGGAACAAUUGGAGGGCAAGUCUGGUGCCAGCAGCCGCGGUAAUUCCAGCUCCAAUAGCUAGUGUUAAAGUUGUUGCAGUUAAAAAGCUCGUAGUUGGAUUUUAUUAUUAUUUCGAUAAGGUGUAUUUGUUUGCUAAUUAUCAAUACACUAGGGACUCUGAAUAUAUAUCUUUUUAAGAAAACUACUAAAAGAGAAUAUAGUUUGAAUACUCUUUUUAAAAAAACAAAAGUAAAAAGGUUAGGGGGUGUGUUGAUGUUGAUUAUUAUAAUAAAAUGGACUACUAAUGACUACCACUCUCUUUAAAAAAAAAAUACUCAAAAAAAAAGCCCCGAAUACCAGGUUCUAAGCCCCGAAUACCAAUAAAAAUCCCCGAAUACAUUCAGGUCUCAGUCCCGAAUACCGAUAAAAAGCAACGAAUACAACCUGUGUAAAGAGGGGAUGAGGAUAGGGAUUAUUAUAAUCCUCAUCCCUUUACACACACAUUUACUUUGAAAAAAUUAGAGUGUUCAAAACAGAUUUUUUCAAAAAAUGUGUCUUGAAUAUAUUACCAUGUUAUGAGAUAAAAUGGAUUCUGAUGUAAAUAUUUUCCAUUAAAAAGGUUUAAAAAAAAAAAAACAAAUUUUUUUUUUUGCAGUUUUUUUUUUUAAAAAUCAUUAUUUUAAUUAUAUUGGAAUAACGAUUAAUAGGGAUAGUUGGGGUCACUCAUAUUCAAUUGUCAGAGGUGAAAUUCUAGGAUUAAUUGAAGAUGAACUAAUGCGAAAGCAUUUGACAAGGAUGUUUUCAUUAAUCAAGAACGAAAGUUGGGGGAUCGAAGAUGACCAGAUACCGUCGUAGUCCCAACCCUAAACAAUGUGAACUUAGGAUCUAUAGGUGGAUAAAAUUAYAUGUCCCCCUGGGCACUAAAGUGAGAAAUCAUAAGUAUUUGCAUUCCGGGGGGAGUAUGGUCGCAAGGCUGAAACUUAAAGGAAUUGACGGAAGGGCACCACCAGGAGUGGAACCUGCGGCUUAAUUUGACUCAACACGGGGAAACUUACCAGGACCGUACUGAUUUAGGAUUGACAGGUUGAUAGCCCUUUNUUGAUUUUUAGAAUGGUGGUGCAUGGCCGUUUUUAGUUGGUGGAGUGAUUUGUCUGGUUAAUUCCGUUAACGAACGAGACCUUAACCUAUUAAAUAGUGUAUUCAACAAAUUCCAUUUUAAUAAGAAGAAGAAAGAGUAUUUUUUUUUUUUAGUAUUUAAUCUUUUUCCUUUUUGGUUUUUCAGUUUAAUUAAAAACCUUCUUAGAGGGACUCUUUGCACAUCCUCAUAGUGAAUGGAAGUUUGAGGCAAAAACAGGUCUGUGAUGCCCUUCGAUGUUCUGGGCCGCACGCGCGUUACAAUGAUUGGAACAACGAGUUUUAAAUAAUUCCUUAUUUUAAAAGAUUGGGUAAUCUUUGUAAAUGUAUUCGUAAUGGGGAUAGAAUAUUGAAAUUAUUAUUCUCCAACGAGGAAUUCCUAGUAAAUAUUAAAUCAUCAAUCUGUGUUGAUUGCGUCCCUGCCCUUUGUACACACCGCCCGUCGCUCCUACCGAUUGAACGGCCUGGUGAGAACUAUGGACACCAAUAGUUUUAUCUGAUAUUUUUUAAAAUGUUAUUAAAAAACUAGUAGUGAAAAUAGUUCAAACCCUACCGUUUAGAGGAAGGAGAAGUCGUAACAAGGUUUCCGUAGGUGAACCUGCAGAAGGAUCA